AGAACUAACAGGAUUCCCUUAGUAACUGCGAGUGAAGAGGGAAAAGCUCAAAUUUAAAAUCUGGCAGCAUUUUGUUGUCCGAGUUGUAACCUAGAGAAGUGUAACCUGUGCUGGACCGUGUAUAAGUUUCCUGGAAUGGAGCAUCACAGAGGGUGAGAAUCCCGUCUUUGACAUGGACUACCAGUGCAUUGUGGUUGUGCUCUCAACGAGUCGAGUUGUUUGGGAAUGCAGCUCUAAAUGGGUGGUAAAUUCCAUCUAAAGCUAAAUAUUGGCGAGAGACCGAUAGCGAACAAGUACCGUGAGGGAAAGAUGAAAAGAACUUUGGAAAGAGAGUUAAACAGUAUGUGAAAUUGUUGAAAGGGAAACGUUUGAAGUCAGUCGCGUUAGCUGGGGAUCAGCCUGACAUUGUUGGGUGCACUUCCUGGUUGACGGGCCAACAUCAGUUUUGACUGCCAGAAAAAGGCCAAGGGAAUGUGGCACCUUUGGGUGUGUUAUAGCCUUUGGUCAUAUAUGGUGGUUGGGACUGAGGAAUGCAGUGUGCCGAAAGGCCGGGUUUCGACCACGUUCACACUGAGGAUGUUGGCAUAAUGGCUUUAAGCGACCCGUCUUGAAACACGGACCAAGGAGUCUAACAUGCAUGCGAGUGUUUGGGUGGAAAACCCUUACGCGUAAUGAAAGUGAAAGUUGAGAUCCCUGUCAUGGGGAGCAUCGACGCCCGGACCAGAACUUUUGGGACGGAUCUGCGGUAGAGCACGUAUGUUGGGACCCGAAAGAUGGUGAACUAUGCCUGAAUAGGGUGAAGCCAGAGGAAACUCUGGUGGAGGCUCGUAGCGAUUCUGACGUGCAA
RNAcentral lists this ribosomal RNA (847 nucleotides) under Amanita spissacea. RNAcentral's name for it is "LSU rRNA". It matches the Rfam family "Eukaryotic large subunit ribosomal RNA", at positions 56 to 896 of the family's 3401-position model. Lineage: Eukaryota; Fungi; Basidiomycota; Agaricomycetes; Agaricales; Amanitaceae. The record is from RNAcentral.